AGAACGAACGCUGGCGGCAGGCUUAACACAUGCAAGUCGAACGCUCCACAAGGAGAGUGGCAGACGGGUGAGUAACACGUGGGAACGUACCCUUUACUACGGAACAACUCCGGGAAACUGGAGCUAAUACCGUAUGUGCCCUUCGGGGAAAGAUUUAUCGGUAAAGGAUCGGCCCGCGUUGGAUUAGCUAGUUGGUGGGGUAAAGGCCUACCAAGGCGACGAUCCAUAGCUGGUCUGAGAGGAUGAUCAGCCACAUUGGGACUGAGACACGGCCCAAACUCC
RNAcentral lists this ribosomal RNA (282 nucleotides) under uncultured Pseudomonadota bacterium. Its description in RNAcentral is "uncultured proteobacterium partial 16S ribosomal RNA". It matches the Rfam family "Bacterial small subunit ribosomal RNA", at positions 26 to 339 of the family's 1533-position model. Lineage: Bacteria; Pseudomonadati; Pseudomonadota. The record is from RNAcentral.